Molecule: ribosomal RNA, 447 nt
Filed under: uncultured bacterium
Lineage: Bacteria
Description: SSU rRNA
Rfam family: Bacterial small subunit ribosomal RNA
Source: RNAcentral
AGAGCGAACGCUGGCGGCAGGCCUAAUACAUGCAAGUCGAACGGAUCCUUCGGGAUUAGUGGCGGACGGGUGAGUAACACGUGGGAACGUACCCUUUGGUUCGGAACAACUCAGGGAAACUUGAGCUAAUACCGAAUGUGCCCUUCGGGGAAAAGAUUUAUCGCCAUUGGAGCGGCCCGCGUCUGAUUAGCUAGUUGGUAGGGUAAAGGCCUACCAAGGCUACGAUCAGUAGCUGGUCUGAGAGGAUGAUCAGCCACACUGGGACUGAGACACGGCCCAGACUCCUACGGGAGGCAGCAGUAGGGAAUCUUGCGCAAUGGGCGAAAGCCUGACGCAGCCAUGCCGCGUGAAUGAUGAAGGUCUUAGGAUUGUAAAAAUUCUUUCAGCGGGGACGAUAAUGACGGUACCCGCAGAAGAAGCCCCGGCUAACUUCGUGCCAGCAGCCGC